GACGAACGCUGGCGGCGCGCCUAACACAUGCAAGUCGAACGGAGUCAAGAGGAGCUUGCUUUUCUUGACUUAGUGGCGAACGGGUGAGUAACGCGUGAGUAACCUGCCCUGGAGUGGGGGACAACAGUUGGAAACGACUGCUAAUACCGCAUAAGCCCACGGAUCUGCAUGGAUCUGCGGGAAAAGGAUUUAUUCGCUCUAGGAUGGACUCGCGUCCAAUUAGCUAGUUGGUGAGGUAACGGCCCACCAAGGCGACGAUUGGUAGCCGGACUGAGAGGUUGAACGGCCACAUUGGGACUGAGACACGGCCCAGACUCCUACGGGAGGCAGCAGUGGGGGAUAUUGCACAAUGGGGGAAACCCUGAUGCAGCGACGCCGCGUGGAGGAAGAAGGUUUUCGGAUUGUAAACUCCUGUCGUUAGGGACGACAAUGACGGUACCUAACAAGAAAGCACCGGCUAACUACGUG
Molecule: ribosomal RNA, 468 nt
Filed under: uncultured bacterium
Lineage: Bacteria
Description: partial 16S ribosomal RNA
Rfam family: Bacterial small subunit ribosomal RNA
Source: RNAcentral